GGUCACGAGUACCAGCGUCAAGCCCCGGCUAGCUGGUCGGCAACCCUCCAACCGCGGUGGGGUGCUCCGGGUGACGACCAGGUCAUGGUCCACAAGGACAUGGCAAGCGCGGACU
RNAcentral lists this non-coding RNA (115 nucleotides) under Rhodococcus (subgen. Prescottella) equi. RNAcentral describes it as "Rhodococcus equi SAM-IV sequence". It matches the Rfam family "SAM (S-adenosyl methionine) riboswitch aptamer". Rfam says of the family: SAM-IV is a mRNA element that regulates gene expression via direct sensing of S-adenosylmethionine (SAM or AdoMet). SAM-IV riboswitches share conserved nucleotide positions with the previously described SAM-I riboswitches sequence analysis and molecular recognition experiments suggest that SAM-I and SAM-IV riboswitches share similar ligand binding sites, but have different scaffolds. The record is from RNAcentral. RNAcentral also lists the same sequence under 1 other name. Lineage: Bacteria; Bacillati; Actinomycetota; Actinomycetes; Mycobacteriales; Nocardiaceae.